AGAGUUUGAUCAUGGCUCAGGAUGAACGCUAGCGGCAGGCUUAAUACAUGCAAGUCGAACGGUAAGUGUUUUAGCAAUAAGACACCNGAGUGACGCACGGGUGCGUAACACGUAUGCAACCUACCCUUUACAGGAGGAUAGCUCGGGGAAACUCGAAUUAACCCUCCAUAGUAUAAUUGAAUGGCAUCAUUUGGUUAUUAAAACUUCAGUGGUAAAGGAUGGGCAUGCGUCUGAUUAGCUAGUUGGUGAGGUAACGGCUCACCAAGGCGAUGAUCAGUAGGGGACCUGAGAGGGUGAUCCCCCACACUGGCACUGAGAUACGGGCCAGACUCCUACGGGAGGCAGCAGUAGGGAAUAUUGGUCAAUGGGUGAGAGCCUGAACCAGCCAUGCCGCGUGCAGGAAGAAGGCCUUCUGGGUUGUAAACUGCUUUUGUCAGGGGAUAAAAUUUCCAUGCGUGGAGAAUUGAGGGUACCUGGCGAAUAAGCCACGGCUAACUACGUGCCAGCAGCCGCGGUAAUACGUAGGUGGCAAGCGUUGUCCGGAUUUAUUGGGUUUAAAGGGUGCGUAGGCGGCUUAUUAAGUCAGUGGUGAAAUAUGGCAGCUUAACUGUCAGGGUGCCAUUGAUACUGAUGAGCUUGAGUACAGAUGAGGUAGGCGGAAUUGACGGUAGCGGUGAAAUGCAUAGAUAUCGUCAAGAACACCUAUAGCGAAGGCAGCUUACUAAGCUGUAACUGACGCUGAGGCACGAAAGUGUGGGGAUCAAACAGGAUUAGAUACCCUAGUAGUCC
This 789-nucleotide ribosomal RNA is filed under the name uncultured bacterium. Its description in RNAcentral is "bacterial SSU rRNA". It matches the Rfam family "Bacterial small subunit ribosomal RNA", at positions 8 to 796 of the family's 1533-position model. The record is from RNAcentral.